This 253-nucleotide ribosomal RNA is filed under the name uncultured bacterium. Its description in RNAcentral is "partial 16S ribosomal RNA". It matches the Rfam family "Bacterial small subunit ribosomal RNA", at positions 524 to 776 of the family's 1533-position model. The record is from RNAcentral.
UACAGAGGGGGCAAGCGUUAUUCGGAAUUACUGGGCGUAAAGCGUGCGCAGGCGGUGAUGUAAGACAGUUGUGAAAUCCCCGGGCUCAACCUGGGAACUGCAUCUGUGACUGCAUUGCUGGAGUGCGGCAGAGGGGGAUGGAAUUCCGCGUGUAGCAGUGAAAUGCGUAGAUAUGCGGAGGAACACCGAUGGCGAAGGCAAUCCCCUGGGCCUGCACUGACGCUCAUGCACGAAAGCGUGGGGAGCAAACAGG